This 503-nucleotide ribosomal RNA is filed under the name Sporosarcina sp. CL3.26. RNAcentral's name for it is "bacterial SSU rRNA". It matches the Rfam family "Bacterial small subunit ribosomal RNA", at positions 17 to 500 of the family's 1533-position model. Lineage: Bacteria; Bacillati; Bacillota; Bacilli; Caryophanales; Caryophanaceae. The record is from RNAcentral.
CCCUGGCUCAGGACGAACGCGGCGGCGUGCCUAAUACAUGCAAGUCGAGCGGAAUGAUGAAGAAGCUUGCUUCUUCUGAUUUUAGCGGCGGACGGGUGAGUAACACGUGGGCAACCUACCUUGUAGAUUGGGAUAACUCCGGGAAACCGGGGCUAAUACCGAAUAAUCCAUUUUGCUUCAUGGCRAAAUGUUGAAAGGCGGCUUCGGCUGUCACUACGAGAUGGGCCCGCGGCGUAUUAGCUAGUUGGUAGGGUAAUGGCCUACCAAGGCGACGAUACGUAGCCGACCUGAGAGGGUGAUCGGCCACACUGGGACUGAGACACGGCCCAGACUCCUACGGGAGGCAGCAGUAGGGAAUCUUCCACAAUGGACGAAAGUCUGAUGGAGCAACGCCGCGUGAGUGAAGAAGGUUUUCGGAUCGUAAAACUCUGUUGUAAGGGAAGAACACGUACGAGAGUAACUGCUCGUACCUUGACGGUACCUUAUUAGAAAGCCACGGCUAA